AAAACAUGGCCUCUUGUGCGGUUUGAUAUAGGAGGUCGGACCUGCUCUCUGAAUUGGUUUUAGGGUUUAAAGGGCUGCAGUAUACUUGACUGUACAAAGGUAGCAUAGUAGCUUGCCUAUUAAUUGUUGGCUGGAAUGAAUGGUUUGAUGAGAUGUGAUCUGUCUCUGUGUUAUGAUAGUAGAAUUUCACUUUGUGGUGAAUAGGCCAUAAUGUUUCCGAGGGACGAAAAGACCCUAUAGAUUUUUAGCUUGUAUUAUAUGUGUUAUCAUGUUAAUGUUUAAGUGUAAUCAUAUUUAAGCAGGUUUUUACUGGGGCGGUAUCUGAAGAAGUAGAUCUUCAGAUUUUUAAUGAGGUUUACACUCACUUGUGGGUAUUGUUUUGAUCCUAUAUAUAUGGAU
RNAcentral lists this ribosomal RNA (399 nucleotides) under Speleonectes cf. tulumensis MH-2013. Its description in RNAcentral is "partial large subunit ribosomal RNA". It matches the Rfam family "Archaeal large subunit ribosomal RNA", at positions 1902 to 2461 of the family's 2987-position model. Lineage: Eukaryota; Metazoa; Arthropoda; Remipedia; Nectiopoda; Speleonectidae. The record is from RNAcentral.